AUAGAAAGCAGUUGUUGUUAGGGGAUUCUAUUAUAUGAGGUGUGAAGCUGUACAAUAGUGGUCUUGUGAGAUGUCUUCCUGGAGCUACUGCUCACAGAGACAGGAGACGUAUUUGUAAUUUUGUUAAGUGAGCAAAGCAGGAAGGGGAACUGGAUGUACUUGGCCAUCAGGUCUUUGUGAUGGACCGCCUGGCACCCUUACUGGGUACCUCCGCCAACUGAUGCUUCCUAGUUGUCGCCGAGUACCAAAAGCACCGCAC
Non-coding RNA from Pelobates cultripes (western spadefoot toad), 259 nucleotides. The record is from the annotation of a GenBank genome assembly. NCBI's taxonomy places the organism in Eukaryota, Metazoa, Chordata, Amphibia, Anura, Pelobatidae.